GUGGGGAAUAUUGCACAAUGGGCGAAAGCCUGAUGCAGCAACGCCGCGUGAGUGAUGAAGGUCUUCGGAUUGUAAAGCUCUGUCUUUUGGGACGAUAAUGACGGUACCAAAGGAGGAAGCCACGGCUAACUACGUGCCAGCAGCCGCGGUAAUACGUAGGUGGCGAGCGUUGUCCGGAUUUACUGGGCGUAAAGGGUGCGUAGGCGGAUGUUCAAGUGAGAUGUGAAAUACCCGGGCUUAACUUGGGUGCUGCAUUUCAAACUGGAUAUCUAGAGUGCAGGAGAGGAGAAUGGAAUUCCUAGUGUAGCGGUGAAAUGCGUAGAGAUUAGGAAGAACACCAGUGGCGAAGGCGAUUCUCUGGACUGUAACUGACGCUGAGGCACGAAAGCGUGGGUAGCAAACAGGAUUAGAUACCCUGGUAGUCCACGCCGUAAACGAUGAGUACUAGGUGUAGGAGGUAUCGACCCCUUCUGUGCCGCAGUAAACACAUUAAGUACUCCGCCUGGGAAGUACGAUCGCAAGAUUAAAACUCUAAAGUGAAUUGACGGGGUC
This 552-nucleotide ribosomal RNA is filed under the name uncultured bacterium. RNAcentral describes it as "partial 16S ribosomal RNA". It matches the Rfam family "Bacterial small subunit ribosomal RNA", at positions 354 to 920 of the family's 1533-position model. The record is from RNAcentral.